AAAAAGAAAAAGGCAGAAUCGUCAGCCCUCAUUUCCACUAUGAGUAAGAAGACCUGUUAUCCAUGAGUUUUUCCUAAGCAUUACAAAUAUUUGUUUUAAUAUAUUUCAUUUCCUGAAAGAAUUUUCCCUAAACUAGGAAAUAAAUUAAUUUUGUUUUUAAGAAUAUAUAUAAUUGCUGCCCAUCCAUGAUAUAAAUAUCCUAACUAAGUUUUUAAUUCUUUUUCCAUUCUCUC
This 233-nucleotide long non-coding RNA is filed under the name Vitis vinifera (wine grape). Its description in RNAcentral is "long non-coding RNA (VVIN_LNC004728)". The record is from RNAcentral. Lineage: Eukaryota; Viridiplantae; Streptophyta; Magnoliopsida; Vitales; Vitaceae.